GAUGAACGCUGGCGGCGUGCCUAAUACAUGCAAGUCGAGCGAACAGACGAGGAGCUUGCUCCUUUGACGUUAGCGGCGGACGGGUGAGUAACACGUGGGUAACCUCCCUAUAAGACGGGGAUAACUUCGGGAAACCGGGGCUAAUACCGGAAAAUAUUUCGAACCGCAUGGUUCGAUAGUGAAAGAGGGCUUUGCUAUCCCUUAUAGAUGGACCUGCGCCGUAUUAGCUAGUUGGUAAGGUAACGGCUUACCAAGGCAACGAUACGUAGCCGACCUGAGAGGGUGAUCGGCCACACUGGAACUGAGACACGGUCCAGACUCCUACGGGAGGCAGCAGUAGGGAAUCUUCCGCAAUGGGCGAAAGCCUGACGGAGCAACGCCGCGUGAGUGAUGAAGGUCUUCGGAUCGUAAAACUCUGUUAUUAGGGAAGAACAAACGUGUAAGUAACUGUGCACGUCUUGACGGUACCUAAUCAGAAAGCCACGGCUAACUACGUG
RNAcentral lists this ribosomal RNA (497 nucleotides) under uncultured bacterium. RNAcentral describes it as "partial 16S ribosomal RNA". It matches the Rfam family "Bacterial small subunit ribosomal RNA", at positions 28 to 507 of the family's 1533-position model. The record is from RNAcentral.